This 308-nucleotide ribosomal RNA is filed under the name uncultured bacterium. Its description in RNAcentral is "bacterial SSU rRNA". It matches the Rfam family "Bacterial small subunit ribosomal RNA", at positions 213 to 507 of the family's 1533-position model. The record is from RNAcentral.
UUGCGCUAUUUGAUGAGCCCGCGUUUUAGAUUAGCUAGAUGGUCGGGGUAAAGGCCUAACCAUGGCGACGAUCUAUAGCUGGUCUGAGAGGAUGAUCAGCCACACUGGAACUGAGACACGGUCAGACUCCUACGGGAGGCAGCAGUGGGGAAUAUUGGGCAAUGGACGAAAGUCUGACCCAGGCCAUGCCGCGUGUGGUGAAGAAGGCUCUAGGGUUGUAAAGCACUUUAAGUAGGGAGGAAAGGUUGUAGUUUUAAUACGCUGCAACUGUGACGUUACCUACAGAAUAAGCACCGGCUAACUCCGUG